UACGUAGGGUGCGAGCGUUAAUCGGAAUUACUGGGCGUAAAGGGUGCGCAGGCGGUUCUGCAAGUCAGGCGUGAAAGCCCCGGGCUUAACCUGGGAAUGGCGCUUGAAACUACAGGACUGGAGUAUGGCAGAGGGAGGUGGAAUUCCGAGUGUAGAGGUGAAAUUCGUAGAUAUUCGGAAGAACACCAGUGGCGAAGGCGACUUACUGGACACAUAUUGACGCUGAGGUGCGAAAGCGUGGGGAGCAAACAGG
RNAcentral lists this ribosomal RNA (253 nucleotides) under uncultured bacterium. RNAcentral describes it as "partial 16S ribosomal RNA". It matches the Rfam family "Bacterial small subunit ribosomal RNA", at positions 524 to 776 of the family's 1533-position model. The record is from RNAcentral.